UACGUAGGGGGCAAGCGUUAUCCGGAUUUACUGGGUGUAAAGGGGGCGCAGACGGCAGCGCAAGCCAGGAGUGAAAGCCCGGGGCCCAACCCCGGGACUGCUCUUGGAACUGCGCGGCUGGAGUGCAGGAGGGGCAGGCGGAAUUCCUGGUGUAGCGGUGAAAUGCGUAGAUAUCAGGAGGAACACCGGUGGCGAAGGCGGCCUGCUGGACUGCGACUGACGUUGAGGCGCGAAAGCGUGGGGAGCAAACAGG
Molecule: ribosomal RNA, 253 nt
Filed under: uncultured bacterium
Lineage: Bacteria
Description: partial 16S ribosomal RNA
Rfam family: Bacterial small subunit ribosomal RNA
Source: RNAcentral